AUACGAACCGUACGAACGUUAUUCGGAAUCACUGGGCUUAAAGAGUGCGUAGGCGGCCAGGCAAGUUGGGUGUGAAAUCCCUCGGCUCAACCGAGGAACUGCGCCCAAAACUGCAUGGCUUGAGAAAGAUAGAGGUGAGCGGAACUAAUGGUGGAGCGGUGAAAUGCGUUGAUAUCAUUAGGAACACCAGUGGCGAAAGCGGCUCACUGGGUCUUUUCUGACGCUGAGGCACGAAAGCUAGGGGAGCGAACGGGAUUAGAUACCCCGGUAGUCCUAGCUGUAAACGUUGAGCACUGGGUCGAGGGGGUUUCCACACCUUCUCGGCCGUAGCGAAAGUGUUAAGUGCUCCGCCUGGGGAGUAUGGUCGCAAGGCUGAA
This 377-nucleotide ribosomal RNA is filed under the name uncultured bacterium. Its description in RNAcentral is "bacterial SSU rRNA". It matches the Rfam family "Bacterial small subunit ribosomal RNA", at positions 523 to 898 of the family's 1533-position model. The record is from RNAcentral.